RNAcentral lists this ribosomal RNA (468 nucleotides) under uncultured bacterium. Its description in RNAcentral is "partial 16S ribosomal RNA". It matches the Rfam family "Bacterial small subunit ribosomal RNA", at positions 28 to 507 of the family's 1533-position model. The record is from RNAcentral.
GACGAACGCUGGCGGCGUGCUUAACACAUGCAAGUCGAACGGAAAGGCCCUGCUUUUGUGGGGUGCUCGAGUGGCGAACGGGUGAGUAACACGUGAGUAACCUGCCCUUGACUUUGGGAUAACUUCAGGAAACUGGGGCUAAUACCGGAUAGGAGCUCCUGCUGCAUGGUGGGGGUUGGAAAGUUUCGGCGGUUGGGGAUGGACUCGCGGCUUAUCAGCUUGUUGGUGGGGUAGUGGCUUACCAAGGCUUUGACGGGUAGCCGGCCUGAGAGGGUGACCGGCCACAUUGGGACUGAGGUAGGGCCCAGACUCCUACGGGGGGCAGCGGUGGGGAAUAUUGCACAGUGGGCGGAAGCCUGAUGCAGCAACGCCGCGUGCGGGAUGACGGCCUUCGGGUUGUAAACCGCUUUCGCCUGUGACGAAGCGUGAGUGACGGUAAUGGGUAAAGAAGCACCGGCUAACUACGUG